UACGUAGGGUGCAAGCGUUGUCCGGAAUUAUUGGGCGUAAAGAGCUCGUAGGCGGUCUGUCGCGUCUGCUGUGAAAACCUAGGGCUUAACUCUGGGCGUGCAGUGGGUACGGGCAGGCUAGAGUGCGGUAGGGGAGACUGGAAUUCCUGGUGUAGCGGUGAAAUGCGCAGAUAUCAGGAGGAACACCAGUGGCGAAAGCGGCUUCCUGGUCCAGCACCGACGUUCAGGCACGAAAGCGUGGGGAGCAAACAGG
This 253-nucleotide ribosomal RNA is filed under the name uncultured bacterium. Its description in RNAcentral is "partial 16S ribosomal RNA". It matches the Rfam family "Bacterial small subunit ribosomal RNA", at positions 524 to 776 of the family's 1533-position model. The record is from RNAcentral.